UACGUAGGGCGCGAGCGUUGUCCGGAAUUAUUGGGCGUAAAGAGCUCGUAGGCGGUUUGUCGCGUCGGUUGUGAAAACCCAAGGCUCAACCUUGGGCCUGCAAUCGAUACGGGCAGACUAGAGUACUGCAGGGGAGACUGGAAUUCCUGGUGUAGCGGUGGAAUGCGCAGAUAUCAGGAGGAACACCGGUGGCGAAGGCGGGUCUCUGGGCAGUAACUGACGCUGAGGAGCGAAAGCGUGGGGAGCGAAUAGG
RNAcentral lists this ribosomal RNA (253 nucleotides) under uncultured bacterium. Its description in RNAcentral is "partial 16S ribosomal RNA". It matches the Rfam family "Bacterial small subunit ribosomal RNA", at positions 524 to 776 of the family's 1533-position model. The record is from RNAcentral.